ACCUCAUUAGCUGCGUCA
Molecule: small nuclear RNA, 18 nt
Filed under: Arabidopsis thaliana (thale cress)
Lineage: Eukaryota; Viridiplantae; Streptophyta; Magnoliopsida; Brassicales; Brassicaceae
Description: snRNA_10562
Source: RNAcentral